GAAUUUUGUCAGAUGCUUUUUCUGCAUCUACUGAAAUGAUCAUGUGAUCAUCUGGGUUUUCUUUUUUAAGUUUACUAAUAUAGUGAAUUACGCUGAUUGGCUUUCAAAUAUUAAACCAAUCUUGCAAUCCUGGGAUAAACUUCACUUCAUCAUAAUAAUGUUUUAUCCUUUAUAUAUAUAUAUAUGUAUUUUAUUUUUUAAAAAACUCAUGAUGAGAACUCAAACUUCAAAGUUAAACAUAGGAGUAAUUAUCCUCUCCGAAAGAUUCACUCUUGGAAUUUCUUAAAAUAAUAGUGUUCUCCCCAUAGGUUUAAGUAUUUGUUUACAUAUCAUUAACAACUUCCUUGAAAACUCUGGAAGGAAAGCAGGCUGAGGGAGAAGACACUCAAUGCUGGAAUGUCAAUUGGUGCGCACAGUCAAUUAAGGUUAUCAGUCAAAAGACAGGCUCAUUUUGGAAUACUCAUAUAAGUAAAUGGGAAAUGAUUCGAGCUACGGAAAUUGAGCAAACAUAUAGUAGUGUGAAAAGGGCACAUCUGUAUGGUCCCAUCUCCCUGACUCUGUAGUCAGGAAGCAGAACUCUGGGGCUUGCAUGCUCCACAGGGUCUUCAUUAAUGUUGCUGACAGACUUCCCUUAAUUAGUCCCUUGGGAAGGAGACUUUGUACUCCAGGGACUCUGAGAAAGAGAAUCCUGUAAGGACAGCUGUUUGCCCAUUUCCUGUUUCUGGAGAAGUGGUUUGUUUUCCUGGCUUUAAGGGUUACUCAGUCCUCAAAGAUGUCAGAGAUCUUUCUUUACCCUGACAGAUAAUGCCGUUUAGGUGGUUCAGGUUCCGGCUAAUUUUAGAAUUGGAAGUAACAGUACAUUUAGUGAAAUGUAUUACAUGAAUUUUAAGUAGAAUAAUGAAGACAUCCCAAUAAUUUUUAGAAAAAAACACCAGCAUUUUUUUAAAAUCCAAAUGAACAAAAUCCUUUAAAGUGGUCACUUAUUCAAAGCAUAUUUGGAAUACCUUUCAUGGUAUUACCUUGGGUCAAUUUGUAAGACAUAUUUGGGGCCAAAAUGGUUAUAUGCAAAUUACUUACCAGAUUUUAUUUUGAAUGAGUUUGGGCUUCUAUGAAAAUCAAAUUUAUCUUUCCCUGAGAGACAGUCUAAAGAAGCAAUUUUAAAACUUUCUUGAAUGAUGAUUUUACUCUUAGAAUAAGUAUGGAGUGAUCUCCAAUUGCUACAUGGAAGGAGACAACAUUCAUUUGGAUAGUGAAGUUCUAAUGUGUUGAUUUUAGAGGCUAGUAUGGGAUGGUUUGCACAAUUAUUUCUGUAAUUGGGUUUAAAUGUGAGAUAAAAUGAAACAGUGGGUCCCCCUACUACUUCCCUCUAGCAGGAGCUUUCGACAUUGGUGGGGACCUGGACCCUAAGUACAUCAGGUGGGGUCCUGGCCCUACCUACGUUGAGAUACUCCUCAAAGCUAGAUGUCCCUGCAGCUUAUUAUCUUAUUUCGUAGUUUCAACAUAGAGUCUCUUUUUUAAAUCUCGAAAUAAAAUAUUGAAUUUCUCAAUUUUGCUUUUUUCUUAUUCUAAACUUCAUGAAUAGAACUAUUUCUUAUUGCAAUUA
This is a long non-coding RNA of Papio anubis (olive baboon), 1603 nucleotides long. NCBI's taxonomy places the organism in Eukaryota, Metazoa, Chordata, Mammalia, Primates, Cercopithecidae. The record is from Ensembl.